AUACGGAGGGUGCGAGCGUUGUUCGGAAUUACUGGGCGUAAAGGGCGCGUAGGCGGCUUUACAAGUCAGGUGUGAAAGUCCACGGCUCAACCGUGGAAGUGCAUUUGAAACUGUAAGGCUUGAGUACUGGAGGGGAGUGUGGAAUUCCUGGUGUAGAGGUGAAAUUCGUAGAGAUCAGGAGGAAUACCGGUGGCGAAGGCGACACUCUGGACAGAUACUGACGCUGAGGCGCGAAAGCGUGGGGAGCAAACAGGAUUAGAAACCCUAGUAGUCC
RNAcentral lists this ribosomal RNA (274 nucleotides) under uncultured bacterium. Its description in RNAcentral is "partial 16S ribosomal RNA". It matches the Rfam family "Bacterial small subunit ribosomal RNA", at positions 523 to 796 of the family's 1533-position model. The record is from RNAcentral.